This is a long non-coding RNA of Microplitis demolitor, 572 nucleotides long. RefSeq lists it as uncharacterized. The transcript has 3 exons. The record is from RefSeq and is a predicted model, not a curated record. Lineage: Eukaryota; Metazoa; Arthropoda; Insecta; Hymenoptera; Braconidae.
CCCAAUAGCAAAAGAAGUUAAUUCACAUAAAAUUUCCUUUGAAUUGAAAUUUAAUAAAAAACUAUCUGAAACAAAGGACCAAUCACGGAAGGUAAAAUUCAGAGAUGAUUUUAGAGAAAUAAAAAGUUUUUAAAAGACAGGAGUUUCUGAGCCCACGUCUUAUACGAGGAUCGUUUGUAAGGAAGAAAACAACGAUUCUCGAGAGUCGAAAGAAAUGUUGCUAAGGAAUUUACCAGCCGGAAAAUCAACUCUUGUAUGUUACUGCCAACUCAAAAUGCUUGAGAGUUUUUCAGAGAAAUAAAAUACAGCGACAGUAGAUGAGCAAAAAAUUAUACGAAAAUAACUGGAGAUGAUGCUCGAGUUGAAGAUGGAGUUUAAGAAAAAUUUGUAAAUCAGAUUGCAAAAUAAGCCGAGCUCGAGGAAUUUUUAACCAGCCAUUUUUAUACAUUCCGACUGUAUGUUUUAAGACUAUAUAAAUAUAUGUACGUAUAUAUUUGUAUGUUUAUUUAUACAUAUAUUUAUAUGGGCAUUUGUAAUCCUUCGAAUACUAAUUUUAUGCCUCGGCUGUUGGG